Molecule: ribosomal RNA, 525 nt
Filed under: Triticum aestivum (bread wheat)
Lineage: Eukaryota; Viridiplantae; Streptophyta; Magnoliopsida; Poales; Poaceae
Description: partial small subunit ribosomal RNA
Source: RNAcentral
AUGGUGAGGUGGGAGGCUCCUCCGAUGGGCUGGUUCAAGCUGAAUUUCGACGGAUCCGUUUACCACGACGGGUCCGGCCGGGCGAGCAUCGGCGGCGCCAUCCGUGACUGCAACGGCCACGUCCUCGUCGCCUUCGCCGAGCCGACGGAGCACUCGACGGUGGGGAUAGUGGAGGCGCGAGCACUGAUCUACGGGCUGCGGCUCGCGAUGAGUUUCUUCUGUGGCGGGCUGGUGGUGGAAGGCGACGACCAGGUGCUGGUGGAGCUCCUGACCGGCAAGGGGACGCAGACGCGUAUACCGCUGUCCAUGCAACAGGAGAUCAAGACUCUGCUUAAGCACUUCUCGACAUACCAGCUGCAGCACAUAUACCGCGAGGGCAACCAGGUCGCCCAUGUCCUGUGCAAAGAAGCAUAUCGGCGGCCAGGGGUGUGGAAGAGCGGGAUCGUGCCGCACGCCGUGUGGGAGAAGGCACUGGAAGACAUGCAUGGCGUCGCGCACGAGAGGAUCUGCAAGAAGUCGUGGUAG